Small nuclear RNA from Echinops telfairi (small Madagascar hedgehog), 107 nucleotides. The record is from Ensembl. NCBI's taxonomy places the organism in Eukaryota, Metazoa, Chordata, Mammalia, Afrosoricida, Tenrecidae.
GUGCUCACUUCGGGAGCCCAUAUACUAAAAUUGGAAUGAUACAGAGAAGAUUAGCAUGGCCCCUGCACAAGGAUGACACGCAAAUUGUUGAAACAUUCCUUAUUUUU